This 253-nucleotide ribosomal RNA is filed under the name uncultured bacterium. Its description in RNAcentral is "partial 16S ribosomal RNA". It matches the Rfam family "Bacterial small subunit ribosomal RNA", at positions 524 to 776 of the family's 1533-position model. The record is from RNAcentral.
UACGUAGGUGGCAAGCGUUGUCUGGAUUUACUGGGCGUAAAGCGAGCGCAGGCGGACUGUUAAGUAGGAAGUGAAAGGUCGGAGCUCAACUCCAACAUUGCUUUCUAUACUGGCAGUCUUGAGUCACGGAGGGGAAAGCGGAACGACACGUGUAGCGGUGAAAUGCGUAGAUAUGUGGCGGAACACCAAUGGCGAAGGCAGCUUUCUGGACGAUGACUGACGCUCAGGCGCGAAAGCCAAGGUAGCGAACAGG